RNAcentral lists this ribosomal RNA (434 nucleotides) under uncultured bacterium. Its description in RNAcentral is "partial 16S ribosomal RNA". It matches the Rfam family "Bacterial small subunit ribosomal RNA", at positions 29 to 507 of the family's 1533-position model. The record is from RNAcentral.
AGCGAACGCUGGCGGCAGGCCUAACACAUGCAAGUCGAACGAACCUUUCGGGGUUAGUGGCGGACGGGUGAGUAACACGUGGGAACGUGCCUUUAGGUUCGGAAUAACUCAGGGAAACUUGUGCUAAUACCGAAUGUGCCCUUCGGGGGAAAGAUUUAUCGCCUUUAGAGCGGCCCGCGUCUGAUUAGCUAGUUGGUUGAGGUAAUGGCUCACCAAGGCGACGAUCAGUAGCUGGUCUGAGAGGAUGAUCAGCCACAUUGGGACUGAGACACGGCCCAAACUCCUACGUGAGGCAGCAGUGGGGAAUCUAGCGCAAUGGGCGAAAGCCUGACGCAGCCAUGCCGCGUGAAUGAUGAAGGUCUUAGGAUUGUAAAAUUCUUUCACCGGGGACGAUAAUGACGGUACCCGGAGAAGAAGCCCCGGCUAACUUCGUG